Long non-coding RNA from Daphnia carinata, 1318 nucleotides. RefSeq lists it as uncharacterized. The record is from RefSeq and is a predicted model, not a curated record. Lineage: Eukaryota; Metazoa; Arthropoda; Branchiopoda; Diplostraca; Daphniidae. The transcript has 2 exons.
ACGACAACCAAGUCUGAUAAAAAUGUCUCGGGAAAAUUUAUCAAUACUGAUCUUGUUCCGUAUUUUACGUCUAUAAAAAAAACCAUUCCAGAGAGCAAAAUGGCAUCGUUGAUUAUAGUUAGUUAGUAGUCAAUGCAAAUAAAAGUGAUAACGCAUCUACGAUUAAUAUUCACCGCACAGGUGAUAACGUUGAAUACCUUAAUAAAUUUCAAUAAUUUUGUCUAGUUUAACAGAAAAGAGCAGUUGUGCACAAUGUGGGUGAUUUUUUAGCACUCGCAAAACGGCGCAAAGCGACAAUAACGUUGAGUGGGAGGGCAAAAAAGUCAAUGAUCAUUACCGAUUAUGAGAACUUUGUUGCGUGUUGAUGAAAAGAGGAUUUUCUGGAUUUCAUCUACAUCUUUUUUGCACUGGAAUAAGAUAUUGACAUUUCAUAGAAUUAAGGAAAUCUUUAAACAGAUCUUGUCGAGUAUUGUGGCAUUAUUCUUUGGAUUACAGAGUUGAGACAGUGCACCUUGUAGACCUACUACGUCCUGCCAUAUGAAGCCAAUUCCAUAAUUAAAAACAAGAUUCAGAGAUGAAUCUUUACCAACAAGUUAAAAAGAUGAAAUUGGGGUGGCUACAAAAGUUCUUUGAGGAAAUCGACCAAAGGCAACACCAUGAGUAUGAAAUAUUAAAUUAGAUUUUCAUUACAUUAAAUUGAAAAAUCACGAUUCAGUUGACUUAAUAAAAUCUGGUAAAGUUCCAACGCAACUCCGCUUGACAUUACCAGACCAGUGGAAUAGCUAUGAAAGUAUGGCCAAAAUGUGAUCACGAUGUCUAAACAUCCUAGUGAUAGGGUGUGUUGCCGCAUUGCGGUCAAACAAGUUGGAAGCCUAACGUGUGCGAAGCUAAAAUUUUUUUUUCAGUCCAACAAUUUCUAGUUCUCAAGACCAAUGCAUCAUGUGGCAAAUUUGAUCGACGAUAGAGAAUCCAUGGAAUCUGUCUGAUUCUGAUUUUCAAUCGUCCUCUAGUGCUUUGCGCUUAGCAACUGAAACCAGAAGUCAAAAGGGCAAAAAUAGAAAUGAAAAAGAUUUUCUGAGAUUAGACGUUUGCAAAACUGGCGGAAGAAAUACCAUCGAGGGCGAAACAUACUGCCAAAACUACGUGUAAAUCUGGGGCUUGAGUGGGGGAGGAGGGGGGUCGAAAUAAAUGUUGCAUUGGGAUUCUUUCUAUGUAUGAAGCCCCAAAUAAAAAUACUUUUGGUUGCCAGGCUGCUAUUCCCCUUCACCCUGUGUAAUAAAAUCAGCAUUUAUUUUUUUAAAUACAACAAUAAAAUAAA